GACGAACGCUGGCGGCGUGCUUAACACAUGCAAGUCGAGCGGAAAGGCCCUUCGGGGUACUCGAGCGGCGAACGGGUGAGUAACACGUGAGUAACCUGCCCCAGACUUUGGGAUAACCCUCGGAAACGGGGGCUAAUACCGGAUACGACACAGCUUCGCAUGGGGUCUGUGUGGAAAGUUUUUCGGUUUGGGAUGGGCUCGCGGCCUAUCAGCUUGUUGGUGGGGUGAUGGCCUACCAAGGCGACGACGGGUAGCCGGCCUGAGAGGGCGACCGGCCACACUGGGACUGAGGGACGGCCCAGACUCCUACGGGAGGCAGCAGUGGGGAAUAUUGCACAAUGGGCGGAAGCCUGAUGCAGCGACGCCGCGUGAGGGAUGACGGCCUUCGGGUUGUAAACCUCUUUCAGCAGGGACGAAGCGUAAGUGACGGUACCUGCAGAAGAAGCGCCGGCCAACUACGUG
Molecule: ribosomal RNA, 462 nt
Filed under: uncultured bacterium
Lineage: Bacteria
Description: partial 16S ribosomal RNA
Rfam family: Bacterial small subunit ribosomal RNA
Source: RNAcentral